This 117-nucleotide ribosomal RNA is filed under the name uncultured bacterium. RNAcentral describes it as "partial 16S ribosomal RNA". It matches the Rfam family "Bacterial small subunit ribosomal RNA", at positions 1383 to 1500 of the family's 1533-position model. The record is from RNAcentral.
GUACACACCGCCCGUCACACCAUGAGAGUUGGGAAUACCCGAAGCCUGUGAGCUAACUUUUAGAGGCAGCAGUCGAAGGUAGAAUCAAUGAUUGGGGUGAAGUCGUAACAAGGUAAC